This 496-nucleotide ribosomal RNA is filed under the name uncultured bacterium. RNAcentral's name for it is "partial 16S ribosomal RNA". It matches the Rfam family "Bacterial small subunit ribosomal RNA", at positions 28 to 506 of the family's 1533-position model. The record is from RNAcentral.
GAUGAACGCUGGCGGCGUGCCUAAUACAUGCAAGUCGAGCGAACGGACGAGAAGCUUGCUUCUCUGAUGUUAGCGGCGGACGGGUGAGUAACACGUGGAUAACCUACCUAUAAGACUGGGAUAACUUCGGGAAACCGGAGCUAAUACCGGAUAAUAUUUUGAACCGCAUGGUUCAAAAGUGAAAGACGGUCUUGCUGUCACUUAUAGAUGGAUCCGCGCUGCAUUAGCUAGUUGGUAAGGUAACGGCUUACCAAGGCAACGAUGCAUAGCCGACCUGAGAGGGGAUAGGGCCAAACGGAAAAGGAAAACGGGCCCGACAUCCUAGGGAGGGAAGAGGUGGGAAAAUUUCACAAAGGGGGGAAGACCGGACGAGGCAACGCGGGGUGGGGAAGGAGGGUCUUCGGAUGGUAAAACCUUUUUAUGGGGAAAAAAAGAAGGGGGAAAAAACUGGGCACAUCUGAAGGGAACCAAAUAAGAAAGCCAGGGCUAAUUAGGG